RNAcentral lists this ribosomal RNA (253 nucleotides) under uncultured bacterium. RNAcentral's name for it is "partial 16S ribosomal RNA". It matches the Rfam family "Bacterial small subunit ribosomal RNA", at positions 524 to 776 of the family's 1533-position model. The record is from RNAcentral.
UACGUAGGGUGCAAGCGUUGUCCGGAAUUAUUGGGCGUAAAGAGCUCGUAGGCGGCCUGUUGCGUCCGCUGUGAAAUCCCAGGGCUCAACCCUGGGCGUGCAGUGGAUACGGGCAGGCUGGAGGCAGGCAGGGGAGAACGGAAUUCCCGGUGUAGCGGUGAAAUGCGCAGAUAUCGGAAAGAACACCAACGGCGAAAGCACUCUGCUGGGCCGACACUGACACUGAGAGACGAAAGCUAGGGGAGCGAAUGGG